CCUACGGGUGGCUGCAGUGGGGAAUAUUGCACAAUGGGCGCAAGCCUGAUGCAGCCAUGCCGCGUGUGUGAAGAAGGCCUUCGGGUUGUAAAGCACUUUCAGCGGGGAGGAAGGCGGUGAGGUUAAUAACCUCAUCGAUUGACGUUACCCGCAGAAGAAGCACCGGCUAACUCCGUGCCAGCAGCCGCGGUAAUACGGAGGGUGCAAGCGUUAAUCGGAAUUACUGGGCGUAAAGCGCACGCAGGCGGUCUGUCAAGUCGGAUGUGAAAUCCCCGGGCUCAACCUGGGAACUGCAUUCGAAACUGGCAGGCUAGAGUCUUGUAGAGGGGGGUAGAAUUCCAGGUGUAGCGGUGAAAUGCGUAGAGAUCUGGAGGACUACCGGUGGCGAAGGCGGCCCCCUGGACAAAGACUGACGCUCAGGUGCGAAAGCGUGGGGAGCAAACGGGAUUAGAUACCCGUGUAGUC
RNAcentral lists this ribosomal RNA (465 nucleotides) under uncultured Klebsiella sp. RNAcentral's name for it is "bacterial SSU rRNA". It matches the Rfam family "Bacterial small subunit ribosomal RNA", at positions 338 to 795 of the family's 1533-position model. Lineage: Bacteria; Pseudomonadati; Pseudomonadota; Gammaproteobacteria; Enterobacterales; Enterobacteriaceae. The record is from RNAcentral.